UACAGAGGGUGCAAGCGUUAAUCGGAAUUACUGGGCGUAAAGGGCGCGUAGGUUGUUACGUAAGUGAGUUGUGAAAUCCCCGGGCUUAACCUGGGAACUGCAACUUAGACUGCGUAACUGGAGUGCAAUAGAGGGUAGUGGAAUUUCCGGUGUAGCGGUGAAAUGCGUAGAUAUCGGAAGGAACACCAGUGGCGAAGGCGGCUACCUGGAUUGACACUGACACUGAGGCGCGAGAGCGUGGGGAGCAAACAGG
This 253-nucleotide ribosomal RNA is filed under the name uncultured bacterium. RNAcentral describes it as "partial 16S ribosomal RNA". It matches the Rfam family "Bacterial small subunit ribosomal RNA", at positions 524 to 776 of the family's 1533-position model. The record is from RNAcentral.